Erinaceus europaeus (western European hedgehog) is the source of this 824-nucleotide long non-coding RNA. RefSeq lists it as uncharacterized. Lineage: Eukaryota; Metazoa; Chordata; Mammalia; Eulipotyphla; Erinaceidae. The record is from RefSeq and is a predicted model, not a curated record. The transcript is spliced from 3 exons.
AAGCGAAAGAAAACUAGGCGGCCGGGAGCCCCGGCGGAGAUCACAAUGUCGGCGGAGGGAGAGAGGGCCGCCCAGACUGCACACACACACCCCCGACGGCGCCCCCCCCCCAGCACACUCUGGGCGCGGGAGGUGGAGGAAUACCAAAGGAGACCACCUGGGACCGCAACAAAAUGGGACUAGACAGACUUCAGGAACCCACACCAGUGAGUGCAAACACAGUGUGGCUUGUGGACAGCGAGGAGCCUAGGGAGAGAUUAAGUGGCUGGUAACAGUCCGGCAGUUUACCAGUUGAGAUGCCACCUCCAGUCUGUUUCACCAACAACAGCAACAACAAUCCACCAGGUUCCAGAUGCUACCAUGAUGCCAACUGCACUUCCCUGGGCAGAGGACCCCACCAGUGUGUCCUGGAGCCUCCAUUCCCCAGAACCCCGCCCCACUAGGUAAAGAGAGAAAGACAGGCUAGGAGUAUGGAUCGACCUGUCAACGCCCAUGCUCAGCAGGGAAGCAAUUACAGAAGCCAGACCUUCUACCUUCUGUGCCCAUAAUGACCGUGGGUCCAUACUCCCAGAGGGUUAAAGAAUAGGAAAGCUAUCAGGGGAGGGGAUGGGAUAUGGAGUUCCAGUGGCGGGAAUUGUGUGGAGUUGUACUCCUCUUACUUAUUCUGUGGUCUUGUCAAUACUUUCAUGUUAUAAAUAAUUUUUUUAAAAAAGAUAAUAAAGGUAUAAUUCCACAACACUCCCACCACCAAAGUUCUGGGCAACCAUCAUAGUUAUCUGAAGAUCAUGAUUAUGGGCUGACUAUAUACACGUAUUUUUCAAGUU